GACGAACGCUGGCGGCGUGCUUAACACAUGCAAGUCGUACGGUAAGGCCCUUUCGGGGGUACACGAGUGGCGAACGGGUGAGUAACACGUGAGUAACCUGCCCACAACUUUGGGAUAACGCUAGGAAACUGGUGCUAAUACUGGAUAUGUGCUCCUGCUGCAUGGUGGGGGUUGGAAAGCUCCGGCGGUUGUGGAUGGACUCGCGGCCUAUCAGCUUGUUGGUGGGGUAGUGGCCUACCAAGGCGGCGACGGGUAGCCGGCCUGAGAGGGUGACCGGCCACAUUGGGACUGAGAUACGGCCCAGACGCCUACGGGAGGCAGCAGUGGGGAAUAUUGCACAAUGGGCGCAAGCCUGAUGCAGCAACGCCGCGUGCGGGAUGACGGCCUUCGGGUUGUAAACCGCUUUCAGCAGGGACGAAGCUUUUUGUGACGGUACCUGAAGAAGAAGCACCGGCUAACUACGUG
This 465-nucleotide ribosomal RNA is filed under the name uncultured bacterium. Its description in RNAcentral is "partial 16S ribosomal RNA". It matches the Rfam family "Bacterial small subunit ribosomal RNA", at positions 28 to 507 of the family's 1533-position model. The record is from RNAcentral.